RNAcentral lists this ribosomal RNA (375 nucleotides) under uncultured prokaryote. RNAcentral describes it as "partial 16S ribosomal RNA". The record is from RNAcentral.
CCCUAUGGGUGCGCAGGCGGGACAUUGUGAAAGCCCGGAUUACAGCGAUCGUCAUUUUAGAGCUGGCGCAGAUACUCGUUACCGCGGCUUUCGCAGGAAUCCACCUUGCGAUAUACGCCAACGAUACGAUGUUUAUGGAUACGAACGCCGUGUACAUUGGCUGCGUUUUCAUCAUGUUCGCGGUAUUCAACAUCGUGUUCUUCCCAAUGUUCUACAAGACCGCCUACAAGAUCGGCGUUCCGGUGAUCGCCGCCAUCGCCGCGGCGCUGGUGUUUGCGGUCGCAGCCGAGGCGCUCGUGCUGGUUGUGCCCGCCUUUCAGCCGCUGGGCGGCCGGGACCAUAUCGGUGCGCAGCUGGCCGUGAUGGCGGGGGAGC